This 484-nucleotide ribosomal RNA is filed under the name uncultured bacterium. RNAcentral describes it as "partial 16S ribosomal RNA". It matches the Rfam family "Bacterial small subunit ribosomal RNA", at positions 30 to 507 of the family's 1533-position model. The record is from RNAcentral.
AUUGAACGCUGGCGGCAGGCCUAACACAUGCAAGUCGAGCGGAUGAAGGGAGCUUGCUCCUGGAUUCAGCGGCGGACGGGUGAGUAAUGCCUAGGAAUCUGCCUGGUAGUGGGGGAUAACGUCCGGAAACGGGCGCUAAUACCGCAUACGUCCUGAGGGAGAAAGUGGGGGAUCUUCGGGCCUCACGCUAUCAGAUGAGCCUAGGUCGGAUUAGCUGGUUGGUGGGGUAAAGGCCUACCAAGGCGACGAUCCGUAACUGGUCUGAGAGGAUGAUCAGUCACACUGGAACUGAGACACGGUCCAGACUCCUACGGGAGGCAGCAGUGGGGAAUAUUGGACAAUGGGCGAAAGCCUGAUCCAGCCAUGCCGCGUGUGUGAAGAAGGUCUUCGGAUUGUAAAGCACUUUAAGUUGGGAGGAAGGGCAGUAAGUUAAUACCUUGCUGUUUUGACGUUACCAACAGAAUAAGCACCGGCUAACUUCGUG